ANNNNNNNNUANCACUAGUAGCGAUGUACUUCGUGCGGUUGUUAUCACCUUGCUUCUCCUUGGAUCGGAGGACUGGUGAGUAAUGCCUUGGAAUCUGCCUGGCAGUGGGGGAUAUCGCUCUUGAACCCAUGCUAAUCCGCCUACAUCCUACGGUAGAAAGAUGGGACCUUCGGGCCUUGGGCUAUCCUUGAUCCUAGGUCGGAUUAACUAAAUGGCGAGGUAUUGGCUCACCAAGGCGACGAUUCUUAACUGGCAUGAUAGGAUGAUCUUCCCCACUGGAACUGAGACACGGUCCAUACUCCUACAGGAAGCACCUGUGGGGAAUAUUGGACAAUGGGUUAAAAUCUGAUCCAGCCCUGCCUGGUGUGUGAAGAAUGUCUUCGGAUUGUAAAGCACUUUAAGUUGGGAGGAAGGGCAUUAACCUAAUACCGUGGUGUCUUGACGCCCUUCCUCGAAUAAGCACCGGCUUAACUCUGUGCCAGACCUUCGCGGUAAUACAGAGGGGGCUGGAUUAAUCGGAAUUACUGUGGCGUAAAUUCCCCGCUGGUGGCUUGUUAAGUUGGAUGUGAAAUCCCCGGGCUCCACCUGUGAAACUGCAUUCUCACUGACAAGCUACGAGAUAUGGUAGAGUGGUGGAGGAAUUUCCUCGUGUAGCUAGUGAAAUGCGACCUAUAUAUCAAAUGAACACCACUGGCGAAAGCGACCCCCUGCGACUGAUACUGACACUGAUGUGCGAAAACGUGGGGAGCACACAGCGAUUAUCAUACCCCUGGCAGGCACAUUCCUAGGCGAUGUCUCACUCGCCCUCCGGAGCCUUGAGCAGUUAGCGUCGCUCCUCACGCCCUACUUUUGAGCGCCUGGGCAGCAGCCAGCCUUCGAUCUGACUCAUGNAAANUUUAAAACAAAGCUUUAAUUCUUUGUAGUCACUAGCCCGUUCACGCGCAUAAGAG
Molecule: ribosomal RNA, 950 nt
Filed under: Eubacterium sp. JF08-2
Lineage: Bacteria; Bacillati; Bacillota; Clostridia; Eubacteriales; Eubacteriaceae
Description: bacterial SSU rRNA
Rfam family: Bacterial small subunit ribosomal RNA (bases 2-850)
Source: RNAcentral